UUUUGUGAUAUCCUGUUAUUUACGUUACGUUGAUGGUUUCCAUGUAAUAUCUAUCGUCGGCUGUUGCAGUGGCACAGUACGCGGAGACAAGAUCCAUCCGUCCAGAGCAUUCGGAAUUAAGACAACCCGAGCGUAUUAUGGAUUAUUCUGGUCCAUUCAUCGUUUUACUGUCUCCGAACCCGUUUUGCUUAAAAAGGCCGAAGCCCAGACACGGCGUCAUUCACGAGGGUAUGGUUAUUAUUAACAUGAGAUACAAAAAUAUAAGUCCGUAUUCUGAUUACAGCCUCUCGCGAGGUCAUCCUCCUUAUUAUUACUGUCAUUAAAUGUAUUUUGUUUUUAUUUUAUUUUGUCCGAAUUUUACGCCAGAAUAAGCUUUCUCGGCACAAAUUUAAUAAAAUAAAAUUUUUUAACUAUUUCUUUAA
This is a long non-coding RNA of Sipha flava (yellow sugarcane aphid), 422 nucleotides long. RefSeq lists it as uncharacterized. The record is from RefSeq and is a predicted model, not a curated record. The transcript is spliced from 3 exons. Lineage: Eukaryota; Metazoa; Arthropoda; Insecta; Hemiptera; Aphididae.